RNAcentral lists this ribosomal RNA (253 nucleotides) under uncultured bacterium. RNAcentral describes it as "partial 16S ribosomal RNA". It matches the Rfam family "Bacterial small subunit ribosomal RNA", at positions 524 to 776 of the family's 1533-position model. The record is from RNAcentral.
UACGUAGGGGGCAAGCGUUGUCCGGAUUCAUUGGGCGUAAAGAGCGUGUAGGCGGCCAGGUAGGUCGGUUGUGAAAACUCGAGGCUCAACCUCGAGACGUCGGCGGAAACCAUCUGGCUAGAGUCCGGAAGAGGAGAGUGGAAUUCCUGGUGUAGCGGUGAAAUGCGCAGAUAUCAGGAAGAACACCCGUGGCGAAGGCGGCUUUCUGGGACGGUACUGACGCUGGGACGCGAAAGCGUGGGGAGCGAACAGG